CCCUAUGGGGUGCAGCAGGCCAUCGCGGACUUCGGUCACAUCGACGUGCUCAUCAAUGCGGCGGGCAUCACGCGCGACGGGUUCCUGACCAAGAUGGACGUGGCAGACUGGGACAAGGUCAUCGCCAUCAACCUGACCGGACCGUUCAACUGCACCAAGGCCGUGGCUCCUCACAUGAUGGAGCGCGGCACGGGAAACAUCAUCAAUGUGUCUUCGGUCGUGGGCGGGUAUGGGAAUAUCGGUCAAACCAACUACUCGGCAACCAAGGCGGGCCUUAUCGGUCUUACCAAGACUUGGGCGAAGGAAUUCGCCAAGAAGGGCAUGCGCGUGAACGCGAUUGCACCUGGGUUCAUCAAGACGCCGAUGACGGCCAAGAUGCCCGACAAGGUCGUGCAGAUGGUCGUCGACAAGACGCCGAUGGGCCGCAUGGGAGAGC
RNAcentral lists this ribosomal RNA (436 nucleotides) under uncultured prokaryote. RNAcentral's name for it is "partial 16S ribosomal RNA". The record is from RNAcentral.